This is a long non-coding RNA of Drosophila pseudoobscura, 1389 nucleotides long. RefSeq lists it as uncharacterized. The transcript is spliced from 2 exons. Lineage: Eukaryota; Metazoa; Arthropoda; Insecta; Diptera; Drosophilidae. The record is from RefSeq and is a predicted model, not a curated record.
AAGAGAAGUGCCAGCAGCUAUAAAAGGCAAUUAAGGCCGUUGAUCCAGAUCAAGAAUUACCAUAAUCUGAUACUGGGAAAAGCUUUCCAGCUAAGCUUAGCUCAGCUCAGCUCUCUCUCUCUUGCUCGCUCUCUCGCUCUUACUCUCUCUCUAGCUGUCGCAUACACCUACAUGAAUACAAUAUACCCUUGAACUCUACGCAGAGUGCCGGGAAUAAAAAAACAACAUCUGCAAAGCUUCCCCCGCCACUCUGAUUAUGCACAUAUGUACAUACACACAUACAUACGUACGUACAUAUAUGUUUGCUUAAAUUAGUUCAGUGUGGAAAAAGUGAUAUAUCCCAAUACAUACAUACAUAUGUAGAUACAGGUACAAUAUGUACGAGUACUCGUACAUACUCAUAGUAGACCCGGCACAAAAAUAGCGCUCUUGGCGUGCUUUGAGCCACUGACCGCACAGGGUAAGCCGGCACCCGUCUGCCGAUGCAGUGUAUGCAAUAAGAUAUGUAAUAAGAUAUGUGUCUGUCUGCAAACAGCACAACAAGCAGACCAGUGUUGCCCAUAUAAAAUAAACCACGGUUCAGAUCUGACGUAAUAUGGCGUUAAAACGGGCCUGCAUUCGCCAAUACACACAUACAAUCUAUGCACAUACAUACAUAGAUAUCCCCGUACAUCCGCGGAUGCUGUGCUUUUUUGUUUGUUUGCCGUUUGCAUCUCUCUCGCUCUCUCUUGCUCAUCCAGCCACCCACCUUUCGGGGCAGGCGCAUGCGCACGCGACCGUGACUGACUGUUGAAUAUCGCAGUGACUACUGGAGAGUGAAUGAUUAAACAACUAGUAGCUGGUCAAUGUGUCGCCAGGGUAGGGAUCAACAAUUCGUGGAAGCUGUGAAAGGAAGACCUAUAAAUAGCAGAUUGGCGGAACUUUAUAAACUUUGCGGCUGAUGGUGAUUAAGCGCAUAUGUUUUGAUAACCAGAAAAGAAAGGAUUUUCAAGCCGAAGUUCAGCAUCAUUAGAACAUAUUUACUUACAUAUCUUUCCAUUGUAAUCUUUAUUUAUUUAACGUAAAAAGAACGAUCGGUGGAAAGUUGGCACAAGAACUCCAUUCUUUUAAAUAAUCAAAACAAAAUCGUAUGACAUAUGAGGAUAGGGUUCUGAUUUUCCCUUCUUGCUUCUUUACAUCAUUUUUAGAACGAAAUUUUUCUAAUUUCUGUGGUAAAAUAAACAGAUGUGACCAUGACAAAGUUUUGGAAAUGGGUACUUAAAUGGACAAAGCAUUUUGGUGUACUUUUUAAGUCCAUUGUUAACUUUGAGAACCAAGUUUAUGUAUGUUUAUACAUAUGUAUGUAUGGUUUAUUCAUUCUCAUUAAAAGCAAACCAUAACCUGUCCUAA